UAAAACCCUAAAACGGCUGGAGUCAUAUUCUAACUCAUUUCUAUCAACUUUCCUCUCAAUUUUAAUCCUUUGCUGAUUUGGGUUGAUUGAUUUCUGGGUUUUAUUGUUCUUAGUCUAAUCAAAAGACUCGUCGACUGUUCGUGCUUUUGAGGCGAACCGAGUCUAGGUUGCUUGCCAGGAGUUUUCACGUGGAUUAGCAAGCAGUGAGUUUGUACUUAUUAUUUACCGCUUUAUUAAGUAAAUUGUUAUUUUAAUAUUAAAUAUAUAUUGUACGUAUAUUUCGAACUGUUUUUAUAUUAUGGCUCUUAGUUGGAACAUGCUACCUAAUGGGCAUCAUUAGGACUGCGUGCGCACCUGUAAAGAUCUGGGUAAGGUAUUGUGUUAUUGUGGUAACUCGGUGUGAGCAUAGCUCUCGGGACCAGUAGAGUAACUCGGUGUGAGCCUAGCUCUCGGGACUGUGGAUAUGGAUUAAGUGCGGUCGGUGGUAACUCGGCAUUGGGCUCAGCUCUCGGGACCAGGCCAAUUGGAUUAUGGUUAUAUUAGUAUUGUGGAUUAGGGUUCCAACUAUUAUUCGUAAUGUUUAUAUUAAAUGUUUUAAACGGUUUUAAAGGUUUUCCACUUGAUAAAUGUAAAUAGUGGUAUAAACUCAUCUCAGUAUUAUCUGACCCCGUUGUUUUCCCAAUUUUCUCAGGGUUAUGAUCUGAGAGAGUCUGGUGAUCUCCGCAUUUACUUUUUCCUCGGAGGUUCUAUUUAUUUUUGAUAAACUGUAAAACUGUUUUAUUCUUAGACCGCAGUAGUAACUAGACGUCCUUAUUAUUAUUAUAUAUUUUAUCGGAUUGGUGCGACUAGUUAUUUUUCUCUGGCAUGUUAUAUGGUUAUUCCGGAUUAUUUAUGUUACGCCUAUUUUUAGACUCAGAAUUGG
Mercurialis annua (annual mercury) is the source of this 922-nucleotide long non-coding RNA. RefSeq lists it as uncharacterized. The record is from RefSeq and is a predicted model, not a curated record. The transcript is spliced from 3 exons. Lineage: Eukaryota; Viridiplantae; Streptophyta; Magnoliopsida; Malpighiales; Euphorbiaceae.